UCCAUCUUGUGAACUUUCACCUACUUCCAUGCUAACAGCCUAUGCUGAAGCAGAAUAUGUAAUGGUCAGCUUUUCUAGCAGACAGUUGCAGUUUUGCUCGCACUAACAGAAACGGUAGUGAUAAUGCAGGGGAAAAGGGGGAGGGAAAGGCCUCCUGUGUAGAGCUUGCAAGGUCAAAGAUAAGCAUGUGAACGGGAAAGUUUCUAACAUGCACAAUGUGUACCGGCUUUAACUGCUAUUGGGUGGGGAGGGGUCUGAGGGAGAAAACAGAACAAAGCUUACACACAAACAGCUUGGAAUAUAAAAGGGAACACUUGCUUGUAUGUGCUGUGCUUGAUUUGAGACGUGCCUGUCUUCCUGCACCACUUUGAGAUCUCAAACUUUGUUUGCUUCUCCACCCCUGGUGCGUCUAUUGGUGCGGCGCACACCGGACAACGAACCCUGUGGCCCCCUCGGGGCCCAUCUGGGCCGGCAACAGUUUGGAUGAUACAGGGGACACUGACUGACCACCCAAGAUCUGAAAUGACAGAGUGUCCCUCAAUUUAGUACAGAGAUCUUGACUUUUAAGAAAAUCCAAAGAAAAAGAAGGGAAGGGACCUGGAUGGUUAAGGAAACUGUAAACAAGGAGAGUGCUGCUUAA
Long non-coding RNA from Malaclemys terrapin pileata, 640 nucleotides. RefSeq lists it as uncharacterized. The transcript has 3 exons. The record is from RefSeq and is a predicted model, not a curated record. NCBI's taxonomy places the organism in Eukaryota, Metazoa, Chordata, Testudines, Emydidae.